AUGGACCCUCUGUACUGCGCAGUGUGCUCGUAGUGGAGGCAGCGGCAGGUGGCAGCGCUCUCUGGCUUGGUCUUCCUGCAGAGGCAGAGAAGUGCCUCUGUAUUGGUUAGGCCAUGCUGCGCUGGCUGCAGGACUUCGCGCUGCCUGACUCGGCCUGCCAGACUGAAGAGGACUCCUUCCUCUACCAGAUCCUGACUGAAAGCCUGGAUCACAAUGGCGACGGCGUGGUGGACAUCAUCGAGCUCAGCGAGGGGCUGAGAAACUGGAGCUGCUCGUUUGGCAUGAGCUCAUAAAAGAAAAAAAUGGAAUUUUUAAAAGAAGUAGAAUAAAGCAACCAGUCCUGAGCUAAGUCUUGAUUCAACUUGAGUUAAAGUUGUUAAACUCAAAUCAGUUGUCCUAGAGUCAAUCUCAGAAGGUUCAUGUGUUGGAAGUGUGGUUACCAGCUAACGGACUUUUGAGAAGUGAUUGAAUCCUGAGGGCUCUGACCUUAUCAAUCAAUUCCUUGAUGUAUUCACAAUAUGACGGCAUUAUUGGGAGUGUGAAACUCCUCAACCUUUGCAUAUUGAACCAGUUUGAAAUUCUUCUCCCCGUUCCCUGACACUGAACUUUCCAAUCACACUUCUGGUAUCUGAAGUCUUGCAGCCUCUGGACAAUAAGAAGUGCUUGUGAUCAACUGAAGGGAAGGUCUUCAGGUGAUCUUUGCCUUUGCAGGUGAAGCAAGUGUGCUAUCUAGAUCAGCUAAGCGUAUCUAAUAUGAACUUCGUUUUACUUGCUGUAAAGUGGUGAACGUAUAUAUUUAGACAAGUAUUUGAAGCAUGUUUUUCCAAUUCCCUCUCUAUUAAGCAUUCUUGCAUUUUUGUUUAAAACAAAUACUCUCCAAUAGUACAUGGUCCAAACAUAGGUCUACUUGGUAUCUGUCACACAAGAACACCUAACCCCCAAAGUCAUUAUACUGUCUGAAAAAGAUUCUGGAAAUUUCAGAUUUGGUGUGUUUAAAGGAUCACAUCAAUUUAGCAUUAAUCUCUACCCUUAUAAAAAGGUUUAGAGUUUGACUAAAAAAGUUUAGACUUGACUCAAUUCAAUAUGCGGCUGAAAAGCUAAACUCACCUGAGUUUGACUGACUUACAGUAAGCCUAGGAAAUAUGAAGCUCAGUUUUAAACUUUACCUGGAAAGAUGAGAUACAAUUGGCUUUAUUUUCUCUUUCCAAUCUCACAUGCAUGCCUCCCAUAGGCAGAAUGUAUUAGCAACAAACAGUAGAAUGAAUAAGGCUGUAUGUGAAUGUGAUACCCAUAGAGCAAAGAAGAAAAGACAGGUAGCGUAGUUUUACAGCAGUUGUUUCCUUAUUUUGUUAGGAGGUUGUAGUGAUAGUUAGCUGCAACCUGUUUCAUUGCCAUUUCAUGUCCAUUUUUCCUAUGUUUAUAUUCCUUGUUCUUCACCUGUUCUGAGUUAAUUACCUGGAAGCAUUAAAGAAGACCAGUUUUAUACUUCCUAGCAUGAUGCAAAUCUUCAUUUAAGGAAAUAUCAAAAAUCUUCAGUGCUCCUCCCUACUUAGGAUUCAUAUAGUUUUUCAUUAAUUUUGUGACUAAGCUAGCAAUACUAUGAGGUAGAACAGAACACCUUACAAGUUCCUCUUAAUCAUUAAUCCUCCUCACACCCACAAAAUCACAAAUUUGGAUUAGAAAAAUAACCACUUUGGUCUAUAUCUUACUUCCUUUUUCAUGCCAGUGGUCUUAUGAUAUGAACUACAAUGUUUGAUCAUCUCAGUUGCUAGAGCAAUGCAAGCAUUGUAGAAUUGCUGUCAAAGCAAAAAUUAUACAACAAAAAUAAGCAAAGAAGACCUUAUUCAAGACCAUUGCAACAGAGAUGGGGAGAGAACAUAGUUUAGUCUGAGCUCAGUUCUACUGAUUUAAAAUCUCAGGAGAGUUUUUAAGAACUGAUGUAGGGGAAUACAAUAGGUCAUCUGUGUUUGCUGACUGCUUUACUUAAAGGAAAGUAAACUUCCUGACAUGACAGAAAGAUAGUUUACCAUGACGUAGGCAGUUUUUGCAACACAGAAAAAGGUACCUCCUUCUACCCCCCACAGAAUCUGUUAGGCUCAUAGUUAUCCAGAUAAUCUAGAGGAUAGACCUCCAUUUCCAUUGAUGCUUAUAAUUCAAAAUAAUGGCUCUCAGUCCUGGAGAAAGACAUUGCUAGACUGUAAAACAGGUGAGAGGCUUUUAAAAGAUUUACAUCUUAAAGGGAUAAAGAAAAGAUUAACUUUUAAAAUUUUUCUAAAGUAAAGGCUUUAAGAAAAGGGAUUUUAAGGCCUAGAGUCUUAAGUUUGGUAUGACUGAGAAAAAGUUGAGGUUGUCUUGAUUUAUUCCAGUGGCAUUAUUUCUCCAUUUAAUACUGACUCAUUAAUAGGAAAAAUAAUUUUUAAUGUCUCUCCUACAUUUACCCCAUGGUUAUCUGAUCUCUAUGCAUUAUGGGUAUGGGAGAAACAGAAUUAUUUGCUAGUGACAGUCCAGUACCUUCAGGAGACAGGGAUCCCACUCUGCCUUGCUAUCCAUGACAGCAACAGAGAACUGUUCCAUUGUACAUAAAAGCUGGAUUGAUGCUAUUGCUCUCACUGAAAUCUCAAUGGCGACAAUGCCCCACCUGUACAAAAGGCUCUAGAAGACACUUUUGAACUGUGUUUCUAUGAUUUUGAUUUUCAUCUCUCUAAUGAACUAUCCACAUAAAGGUGAAGGAAGUGACCUCUGGGCUUCGCUGUGGAGUUUACUUAAUUGGGUAAGCCCAAUAUAUAUGCUAAAUCAACUUGGACAUUCUCUCUCUAAGUCUGUGAAUUCUUUCUUCAAGAAAUGCAGUAUUGCAUAAAAGUGAAUUUUUAGCUACCUAUGUCAUUUUGCACUUGUUUUUGUGGAGCAGACGGUUUUAAAUCAAGGUCUUGCACUCACUAGGCAUGUGCUCUUCCACUUGAGUCAUGCCUCCAGCCUUUGUAAUUUUAAAUUUUCUAGUAGCCAGAUCAAAAGAAAAAAAGGAAAGAGAAGGAAGAUAUGUGCAAAAACAUUUUAAUUACAUAUAUUUGAUUUAACUUAAUACAUUCAAAAUAUUACUACAACAUAAUCAAUGUAAAAUUUUUAUUGCUAUUUUAUUUGCUAGGCAGGUGCUCUACCACUUGAGUCAUGCCCCCAGCUCUUUUU
Molecule: non-coding RNA, 3183 nt
Organism: Castor canadensis (American beaver)
Lineage: Eukaryota; Metazoa; Chordata; Mammalia; Rodentia; Castoridae
Source: RefSeq, a predicted model, not a curated record